GGCAGAGAUUUGGGGAUGGGGGGGGAAUGGGAGGGGGGUGAAUGAGGGGGGAUUUGUGAAUGGGGGGGUGUGAAUGGGGGGGUGUGAAUGGGGGCAGGGAUUUGUGAAUGGAGGGGGAGUGAGAAUGGGGGGGGAAUGGGAAGGAGGUGAAUGGGGGGGGAAUGUGAAUGGGGGGGAGAGAGGGAGGGAAUGUGAAUGGGGGGGAGGGAAUUGUGAAUGGGAGGGAGGGGGAGGGGGGAAUUGUGGGUGGGGGGGAGGAAGGGGGGGGUGGAAUUGUGAAUGGGGGUGGUGGGAGAGGGAGGAAUCGUGAAUGGAAUGUGAGCGGGGAAGGAAAAAGUGAAUGGAGGGAGACGGGAACAGAAAGCAGUUCUGAAUGGAAUGGAAUGGAAUGGAAUGGGGUGGGGUGGGGGUGGGGAGGGGUGGGGGUCCUGGCAGCUCACAGAGGUGGGAGGGGGGGGUUGGAAAAGUCCUGGCAGCUCACAAAGGAAUGGGGGUGUUGGGAAGGAAAGGUCCUGAAAGGUCACAGAGCCACGGGGUGGGUGGGUGGGGUGGGAAAGGUCCUGGCUGGGCACAGAGCUAUGGGGUGGUUGGGUUGGGAUGGAAAGGUCCUGACAGGUCACAAAGGCAUUGGACUGUUGGGUUGGAAAGGUCCUGACAGAUCACAGAGAUGUGGAAUGAAUGGGUUGGGAUGGAAAGGUCCUAACAGAUCACAUAGAUGUGGGAUGAAUGAAUUGGGAUGGAAAGGUCCUUACAGAUCACAGAGCUAUGGGGUGGUUGGGUUGGGAUGGAAAGGUCCUGACAGAUCACAAAUAUGUGGGAUGAAUGGGUAGGGAUGGAAAGGUCCUGACAGGUCACAGAGCUAUGGGGUGGUUGGGAUGGGAUGGAAAGGUCCUGACAGAUCACAGAGCUAUGGGGUGGUUGGGUUGGAUUAGAAAGGUCCUAACAGAUCACAAAGGCAUUGGACAGUUGGGUUGGGAUGGAAAGGUCCUUACAGAUCACAGAGCCAUUGGAUGGUUGGGUUGGGUUGGAAAGGUCCUAACAGGUCACAGAGAUGUGGGAUGGAUGGGUUG
Molecule: long non-coding RNA, 1070 nt
Filed under: Gallus gallus (chicken)
Lineage: Eukaryota; Metazoa; Chordata; Aves; Galliformes; Phasianidae
Description: lncRNA (ENSGALG00010018563.1)
Source: RNAcentral